This is a long non-coding RNA of Lepidothrix coronata (blue-crowned manakin), 1854 nucleotides long. RefSeq lists it as uncharacterized. The transcript has 3 exons. Lineage: Eukaryota; Metazoa; Chordata; Aves; Passeriformes; Pipridae. The record is from RefSeq and is a predicted model, not a curated record.
ACUUCUGCAGAGAAGAUUUUCUAAGUUUUGAUUAGAAGAAAAGAGUGCUAGAACAGAAAAUCCUUAUAGAAAAUCCUGGGGUUUUGGAACAGAAAUACUCAAAUGGCAGAUGACUACUCUUUGCCACAUCAACCAGCAUUUCCAUCAAAUGUCACAAUUCCUCUUCCACCAGGAACCAAAAUUUUGUAAAAAUCUUUGGUAGAGAUGACUUCUGCAGGUUUUUUAAUAGGUGUUAAAAUAUUUCAUCUGCAGGAAAUCAGCAGGGAAUUGCCUUCCUCAGCAAUUACCAAAAAACUAUUAGUUGGUAGCAACAGAAAUAUCCCUUAAUUCUCCAAUACUUUUGUCUUUUGUUGGAAGUUGUAUGAAGGUUAAGUCACAAUCACAGAAAUGCUUAAAUUGUAAUACAGAAAUGAAAGAUGGGAAACCAGCAAUAAGGAUUAUAGUAUCAGGUAUUAACAACUAUGGUUUGGGUGAGGUUUUUGUGCUGUGGCUAGAUAUCACCAUCCAUUUGCACUGAAAGAAGAGAAUUCAUCUGUUUUUUGGUAUUUUUUUUGUGCAAACACUGAUGGAAAAAUACUAUUGCAGACUUAACAUUAGAUUUUGCUCUUGAUAAAUGACACGAUCUUAGAAAUCUGUUAUAUUUGACAUUUCUUCACUAGGAAAGUAGUACAGCACUAGGGCAGGUUGUUCAGGAAAGCUGAAGAGUUUCUAUCUUCAGAGGUUUUCAGGACUCAAAAACAGUCACUUGGAUUGAGAGGGCAUAUUAAAUGGUGAGGUGCUACAAACACCUAGCUGCGACCUUUAGGUAGUCCCUCUUUUCACAGGAAUACUGGAAAAAUAUUUCCAGUUUGGAAAUAUGGGAAGCUUUAGGACUAAGAGAGUAAAAUUAUGUUGCUCUUUUUUGUUUUGUUUUUAAUUUAGCUAUACUGAGAUAUUCAUUUGGGUGGUAUUCUGUUUGUAAUGAAAUCAUACAUCAACAGCAUACUCUGGCAUCCAGUACUUACUGCAAUAUUAAUAGACAGUUAAACUGUCUCUCCUAGUCAGUUAAUCAAAUACUUAGUAAAAUUCAAUGUGCUGCUUCACAGUCUGUCAUGACCAGGAAAGACUGAUAUUAUACUUCUGCUUGGGACUGGUCAAAGAACUCAAAUCUUUUGCAGCCACGUUUCCCAAGGGAAGUGAAAGGUGAACAGACCAGUCCAACCUGGAAAAAACUAAAAGACUCUGCUUUAUCUGACUGACAAGAAAAAUAUCCUUCCAGAGAAAUGCUGAAAGCUCAGUUACAUGAAUGUCUAAUCUGGGAGUGGUGUGGCUCUUCUGGAAGAAAAAGUCCUGCCUUCUGUUCCUGGUAAUUAGAUCUGAAUUUUUGGUCUUUGCUAUAAACAGUAUGUUAAUAUUUCUGACAGUGUGGGCUUUUCUACCCUUUCUCAGCAAACAGCAGGAGAAAAGCUUGGUAGAAAAAUGGGUCAGAUCAAACUUUUUAGUUGCCAUAUACAGUUCAGUGAACAGCUAUCCCUAACAAACUGCUUUAGGAGGUGUACUAAUAUCCUACCAAAAAACUGACAAUGAAUUUAACUGUAUGGGUGUUUCCUGUGGCAAGGACACAACAACCUCCUUACCAGCACUAAACCUUUGUUUUGGUUCUUUGGACAUGCUGGGUCAUGGUGGAAUAAAGGGCUAUGAGUCACUAUUAUUGACUACAAGGGUAUGCUGACGUGCACAGUAAUGACAGAUUGCUAUGGGUUUCAUAGUGUUGCAGUCUAGCACAAGUUUAUUUCUGGUGUCUUGCCUAUCAUCUUGAAAUAUCAGUACAUUGAGUCUACCUAUUCAUAUCUACUGCUUCUACUAGCUGUCAUU